RNAcentral lists this ribosomal RNA (468 nucleotides) under uncultured bacterium. RNAcentral's name for it is "partial 16S ribosomal RNA". It matches the Rfam family "Bacterial small subunit ribosomal RNA", at positions 28 to 507 of the family's 1533-position model. The record is from RNAcentral.
GACGAACGCUGGCGGCGUGCUUAACACAUGCAAGUCGAACGGAAAGGCCCUGCUUUUGUGGGGUGCUCGAGUGGCGAACGGGUGAGUAACACGUGAGUAACCUGCCCUUGACUUUGGGAUAACUUCAGGAAACUGGGGCUAAUACCGGAUAGGAGCUCCUGCUGCAUGUUGGGGGUUGGAAAGUUUCGGCGGUUGGGGAUGGACUCGCGGCUUAUCAGCUUGUUGGUGGGGUAGUGGCUUACCAAGGCUUUGACGGGAAGCCGGCCUGAGAGGGUGACCGGCCACAUUGGGACUGAGAUACGGCCCAGACUCCUACGGGAGGCAGCAGUGGGGAAUAUUGCACAAUGGGCGGAAGCCUGAUGCAGCAACGCCGCGUGCGGGAUGACGGCCUUCGGGUUGUAAACCGCUUUCGCCUGUGACGAAGCGUGAGUGACGGUAAUGGGUAAAGAAGCACCGGCUAACUACGUG